AUGCACGCUGGCGGCGUGCCUAAUACAUGCAAGUCGAGCGAACGGACGAGAAGCUUGCUUCUCUGAUGUUAGCGGCGGACGGGUGAGUAACACGUGGAUAACCUACCUAUAAGACUGGGAUAACUUCGGGAAACCGGAGCUAAUACCGGAUAAUAUUUUGAACCGCAUGGUUCAAAAGUAAAAGACGGUCUUGCUGUCACUUAUAGAUGGAUCCGCGCUGCAUUAGCUAGUUGGUAAGGUAACGGCUUACCAAGGCAACGAUGCAUAGCCGACCUGAGAGGGUGAUCGGCCACACUGGAACUGAGACACGGUCCAGACUCCUACGGGAGGCAGCAGUAGGGAAUCUUCCGCAAUGGGCGAAAGCCUGACGGAGCAACGCCGCGUGAGUGAUGAAGGUCUUCGGAUCGUAAAACUCUGUUAUUAGGGAAGAACAUAUGUGUAAGUAACUGUGCACAUCUUGACGGUACCUAAUCAGAAAGCCACGGCUAACUACGUG
RNAcentral lists this ribosomal RNA (496 nucleotides) under uncultured bacterium. RNAcentral's name for it is "partial 16S ribosomal RNA". It matches the Rfam family "Bacterial small subunit ribosomal RNA", at positions 29 to 507 of the family's 1533-position model. The record is from RNAcentral.